RNAcentral lists this microRNA (21 nucleotides) under Spodoptera frugiperda (fall armyworm). RNAcentral's name for it is "sfr-miR-10-3p". Its record names the gene sfr-miR-10-3p. Lineage: Eukaryota; Metazoa; Arthropoda; Insecta; Lepidoptera; Noctuidae. The record is from miRBase by way of RNAcentral.
CAAAUUCGGUUCUAGAGAGGU